Molecule: long non-coding RNA, 1421 nt
Filed under: Bos taurus (domestic cattle)
Lineage: Eukaryota; Metazoa; Chordata; Mammalia; Artiodactyla; Bovidae
Description: long non-coding RNA NONBTAT008071
Source: RNAcentral
AAAUAUUGCUUGUUAGAAUAAUUAACUAAAAGUAUAUCCAUUUGGAAAGUAGAAGAGCUUUCUCAGAUUGCUAAAUUUUUAAAUUUUGUUUUCUGUUUGAAAAGUAUAUUAAGAGUUCAAAUAUUUUUCCCACAUAGUACAGUUAGAAAUAACCACUAUUUCUGGUUUUGUGGGAAAUGACAUGAGCUGGAGAGGGCAAGAACAUAGCUGAGACCUCCCAGCACAGCCCACGCUGGGCAUGGAGAAGACCCCCUCUGCAUAACCAGCAUAGCAGUAUUACUCUGAGACCUUGCACAUCUGACUUUUGUUUUAAUUUUCUUAACUUGUUUGUUUCUCUUCAGAAAUAAGUGUUUUUAACAGUGUAUGUGCUUUUAAAACACAUUGUGGAUGAGAACCCUGUGGAUUUUUUAUUACCUUGUCUGUUUGUCAUAAAUAAGCUAAAGUAGACUAAGUGGUAGGCUAACCAUAUUGCUGAAGAUGGGCAGCUGGAAGUCAGAGCCUGACAGCACAGUUUUGCCAAAGAGAGAGCUCAAGUGGAAGACGUGUUUGAUAUUUUCAGCGCUAAACACAAGGCUGCUUGUGCAGAGUGAGAACAGUGUUCAGAUUUGGUGACUAGACCACACAUAGAUUUGUGGCCUCUGACUGAUGGAAACUCUGAACUGUGCAGCGGAAGUCACCAUUGUUUUCUUGUCUUCAGAUUUGUCCAUUCAAAAGCUUGCUCAUGGCUUUUUAAGGCUACUUUAGCAUUUGAAGCAAAGAGAAUUCCAGUGGGAGAAGUGAAUUAAAAUAGUGUGGGUGAAUUUUUGAUCUUAUAAUUCACCAAAUGAGACCUAAUAAUAAUGCAGGCAAAAAUAAAUACUACAAUAUUAAAUAUUUAGGCAUCGUGUUAGUGAGAAGAUGAAAUUUUUCUCCUCUUACUAGGCCUACCCUUAAUAAAUUUGUAAACUAGCACCUCACAAGCUUGAAAUUUUCACCAAUAUUAAGCCCAUUUUUUUCUCUCUGAGUCAAGAAAAACUCAUUGGAAAUUCCAUUAUAAUUUAAAUUUAAGCUAGUUUUUGAUAAGCAUAAUGAUUGGUAUAUUAUCCAGCCUGGUGCAGCAGUAUAAUACCAACCAAAAUACAAUUUGAGGCACAUCUCAUUUAACUGUUUGAACAUGGAAGCUUAUUUUUCAUGCAAAAGUAACCUCUAACGGUUUUUAAAAUGCAGCUAUAAAAAUCACUGUAUGAUGACCUUGAGGAGCUCUGAUUUUGGUCUCAUGCCCCCUCUGUGUGUGAGUUCUACUUAUUUUUUUCAGAGACAUUAUUUUUAAUACAACCUCCAAACUAUAAAAAUUAAAAGAACCAAUCAAACACACCUUCCUAUUACAUUUUCUUCACUGUGUAAAUAUUAUUUGUGUAAACAUUACGAAAAGGGAUCCAAAC